CCCUCCCUCUUUCUUCAUGCCUAACACAUGCAAGUCGAACGAGACCUUCGGGUCUAGUGGCGCACGGGUGCGUAACGCGUGGGAACCUGCCCUUAGGUUCGGAAUAACUCCCCGAAAGGGGUGCUAAUACCGGAUAAUGUCUUCGGACCAAAGAUUUAUCGCCUUUGGAUGGGCCCGCGUUGGAUUAGCUAGUUGGUAGGGUAAAAGCCUACCAAGGCGACGAUCCAUAGCUGGUCUGAGAGGAUGAUCAGCCACACUGGGACUGAGACACGGCCCAGACCCAGCGGGAAGGAGGGAUGGGGGAAGUUUGGAAAAGGGGCGAAGGGCGACUCCAGCAAGCCCGGGUGAGUGAUGAAGGCCUUAGGGUGGAAAAGCUCUUUUACCGGGGAUGAUAAGGAAAAUCCCGGGGGAAAAAGCCCGGGUGAACUCCGG
This 432-nucleotide ribosomal RNA is filed under the name uncultured bacterium. RNAcentral describes it as "partial 16S ribosomal RNA". It matches the Rfam family "Bacterial small subunit ribosomal RNA", at positions 36 to 506 of the family's 1533-position model. The record is from RNAcentral.